UCGACGCUACUCUUACUUUAGUCGUCGUGGUGACCAGCUCGCAGAAUGGCGUCAGUCUUACUAGUCUUUGUGUCCGCUCUGCUGAUGCUGGUUUUUAUCAACGUCGUACACGGAGCCCCUGGUUACCAGAAGUGUGAAUGCUUGGCUGAAAACGAGUCAUGUCCACCUACCUGGACGGAAUCUGAACAAGGAGAAUGUGACGCGGAUGAGAAGAGAUGCUGCACCCCGUUAAGGAUCUUCUUCUUCCCUUUCCCUCAUACGUUCCCCGCUGUCACGUAUCCAACAACAGAACCAAACAGCAACGCCAACAGUAUUGAGUACAAAUGGGGAUAAAAAUAACCGAACAAUUCAUAAACGGAGGACGACGGCAUGUUGGAGGAUGGUCCUUCGUGGAUGGUCCUUCGUGGAUGGUCCUUGGAGGAUGGUCCUUGGUGGAUGUCUAUAAUCGGGGGCAAUCGGAGGCAAAGGAAGUGAACGUGGACCCACCCGAUUGUGUCAUACGCGCUUUUAAUUGAAAUACCCAUGCUAUGUUUUAUAUUAAGAAAAUAUUCGAAUGGACCAACCCUAUUGUAUCACACGCGCUUUAACUAAAAUUAUCCAUGACAUGUUUUAUAUUUCUGAAAUAUAGGUCUAACAUAAUCUGUUAAAUAUCCUAGUUUUACAUUGAAUAAAGGUGUUAUGAUGGCUUA
Long non-coding RNA from Mizuhopecten yessoensis (Yesso scallop), 689 nucleotides. RefSeq lists it as uncharacterized. Lineage: Eukaryota; Metazoa; Mollusca; Bivalvia; Pectinida; Pectinidae. The transcript has 3 exons. The record is from RefSeq and is a predicted model, not a curated record.